GAUGAACGCUGGCGGCGUGCUUAACACAUGCAAGUCGAACGGUGAACCCGGAGCUUGCUCUGUGGGAUCAGUGGCGAACGGGUGAGUAACACGUGAGCAACCUGCCCCUGACUCUGGGAUAAGCGCUGGAAACGGCGUCUAAUACUGGAUAUGUGACGUGACCGCAUGGUCUGCGUUUGGAAAGAUUUUUCGGUUGGGGAUGGGCUCGCGGCCUAUCAGCUUGUUGGUGAGGUAAUGGCUCACCAAGGCGUCGACGGGUAGCCGGCCUGAGAGGGUGACCGGCCACACUGGGACUGAGACACGGCCCAGACUCCUACGGGAGGCAGCAGUGGGGAAUAUUGCACAAAGGGCGCAAGCCUGAUGCAGCAACGCCGCGUGAGGGAUGACGGCCUUCGGGUUGUAAACCUCUUUUAGCAGGGAAGAAGCGAAAGUGACGGUACCUGCAGAAAAAGCGCCGGCUAACUACGUG
RNAcentral lists this ribosomal RNA (469 nucleotides) under uncultured bacterium. Its description in RNAcentral is "partial 16S ribosomal RNA". It matches the Rfam family "Bacterial small subunit ribosomal RNA", at positions 28 to 507 of the family's 1533-position model. The record is from RNAcentral.